RNAcentral lists this ribosomal RNA (120 nucleotides) under Thinopyrum intermedium. Lineage: Eukaryota; Viridiplantae; Streptophyta; Magnoliopsida; Poales; Poaceae. The record is from RNAcentral.
GGAUUCGAUCAUACCAGCACUAAAGCACCGGAUCCCAUCAGAACUCCGAAGUUAAGCGUGCUUGGGCGAGAGUAGUACUAGGAUGGGUGACCUCCUGGGAAGUCCUCGUGUUGCAUUCCC